This 4034-nucleotide long non-coding RNA is filed under the name Canis lupus familiaris (dog). RNAcentral describes it as "lncRNA (ENSCAFG00845020118.1)". Lineage: Eukaryota; Metazoa; Chordata; Mammalia; Carnivora; Canidae. The record is from RNAcentral.
UUUUUGUAUUCUUUAGAUAAAUACCCAGUGGUGAAAUUGCUGGGUCAUAAGGUAGCUCUAUUUUUAACUUUUUGAGGAAGUUCCAUACUGUUUUCCACAGUGGCUGCACCGGUUUGCAUUCCCACCAACAGUGUAAGAGGGUCCCCCUUUCUUUGCAUCCUCACCAACAUCUGUUGUUUCUGAGUUAAUUUUAGCCAUUCUGACCAGUGUGAGGUGGUAUCUCCUUGUAAUUUUGAUUUGUAAAUCUUGAUUUGUAAAUUUCCCUGAUGAUGAGUGUGAUGUCGAAUAUUUUUUCGUAUGUGUGUUAGCCAUUUGCAUACCUUCUUUGGAGAAAUGUCUGUUUAUAUCUUCUACCCAUUUCUUGACUGAAUUUUUUGGUUUUCGGGUGAUAAGUUUUGGCUUGAUAAGUUCUUUAUAGAUCUGGAUACUAGCUCUUUAUCUUAUAUGUCAUUUGCAAAUACCUUCUCCCAUUCCACAGACUGCCUUUCAGUUUUGUUGAUUCUUUCCUUUGCUGUACAGAUGCUUUAUGUUGAUGAAGUCUCAGUAGUUCAUUUUUGCUUUUGCUCCCUUUGUCUCAGGUGAUAUAUGUAGUAAAAAGUUGCUACAGCUGAGGUCAAAGAGGUUGCUGCCUGUGUUCUCCUCUAGGAUUCUGAUGGAUUCCUGUCUCACAUUUAGGUCUUUCAUUUAUUUUGAAUUUAUUUUUAUGUGUGGCAUAAGAAAGUGGUCCAGCUCAAUUCUUUUGCAUGUUGCUGUCCAGUUUUCCCAACAUCACUUGUUGAAGAGAUUGUCUUUAUUCCAUUGGCUAUUCUUUCCUGUUUUGUCAAAGAUUAGUUGACUAUAUACUUGAGGGUCCAUUUCUGGGUUCUCUAUUCUAUUUCACUGAUCUGUAUGUGUCUGUUUGUGUGCCAGUACCACAUUAUUUUGAUGAUUAUAGCUUUAUAAUACAGCUUGAAAUCUGGAAUUGUGAUGCCUCCAGCUUUCUUUUUUCCAAACAUUACUUUGGCUAUCCAGGGUCUUUUCUGGUUCCAAAUUUCAGAAUUGUUUGUUCAAGCUCUUUGAAAAAUGCUGGUGUUAUUUUGAUAGGGAUUGCAUUGAAUGUGUGGAUUGCUUUGGGUAAUAUAGAUAUUUUAACAAUAUUUGUUCUUCCAGUCCAUGAGCAUGGAAUAUUUUUCCAUUUAUUUGUGUCUUCCUCAGUUUCUCUCAUAAGUGUUCUAUAGCUUUCAGAGUACAGAUCUUUUACCUCUUUGCUUAGGUUUAUUCCUAGGUACCUUUUGGGGUUUGGUGCUAUUGUAAAUGGAAUCAGUUCCUUGAUUUCUCUUUCUGCUGCCUCAUUAUUGGUGUAUAGAAAUGCAACAAGCUCCUGUGCAUGGAUUUUAUAUCCUGUGAUUGUGCUGAAACCCUUAUAAGUUAUAGCAAUAUUUUGGUGGAGUCUCUUGAGUUUUCUACAUAGAAUAUCAUGUUGUCUGUUAAGAGUGGAAGUUUGACUUCUUUCCUGAUCUGGAUACCUUUUAUUUCAUUUUGUUGUCUGACUGCUGAGGCUAGGACUUCUAGUACUAUGUUGAACAACAGUGGUGAGACUGGACAUCCCUGUCUUGUUCCUGACUGAGGAAAAGCUCUCAGUUUUCCACAUUGAGGAUAUUAGCUAUGUGUCUUUUUCAUAUGACCUUUACGAUGCUGAAGUAUGUUCCUUCUAUCCCUACUUUCCUGAGGAUUUUUAUCAAGAAAGAAUGCUGUAUUUUGUCAAAUGUUUUUUCUGCAUCCAUUAUGAUCAUAUGUUCUUAUCCUUUCUUUUAUUAAUGUAGUGUAUCACAUUGAUUGACUUCUGGAUGUUGAACCAUCUUUGCAGGUCAGGAAUAAAUCCCAUUUGGUUAUGGUGAAUAAUCUUUUUAACGUACUGUUAGAUCUGAUUAGCUAGUAUCUUGUUGAGAAUUUUUGCAUCCAUGUUCAUCAGAGAUAUUAGUUUAUAAUUCUCCCUUUUAGUGGGGUCUUUGUCUGGUUUUAAGGCAUUGGUUUAUAAUUCUCCUUUUUAGUGGGGUCUUUGUCUGGUUUUAGGAUUAAGGUAAUGCUGGCCUCAUAGAAUGAGUUUGGAAGUUUUCCUUCCAAAAUCAACUAUCUUUUAUUUUCUUUAUUUUAAUUAUAAAUAAAGCCCAUAAAUAUUGCUUUGCUCAACUUUUAAAGUUCUCUAAAUAAUACUAUUCUCCCAGUCUCUCUGGCUUAGAGCUUUGGAGCCAUCUUUGAUUCCUUCAUUUUCCUCAUCUCUAUGUCCAAAUCAAUUGCCUAAUACAGUCAAUUGUUCUUCCAAAAUAAUCUUCUGCUCAUUCAUUUCCAUUUUUAUCCCAGUCUAUAUUUUUAAAAUCCUAGACUAUCAUUAAACCUUCUCACAUAGACACUACUAUUUUUUGACUACUUGACACUAAUGACUACUAUUAUUGACACUAAUGACUAUUUUUUCCCAAUAAUCAAUAAAUGUACCCACUUUACAUAUUUGUUUCACUAAAGUGAUGUCUCUUGUCUGUUGAUAAUCUUCCUCAAUAACCCACCGCAUGCAGGAUGAAAUGUAUGGGCCUGAGAUAGAUAAUUUUUCCUCUCUUGUACUCUACUCCAAUUGUGAAAACAAAACAAACAAAUAAACAAAAACUACAAGAUGUUUGGUUUCAUACUUUCUGAGCCAAGAAACCACAGAGUAAUUGGCAAGAAUUCUAAACUUCAAAAAGUUAAUAAGAUUUAUUCCUAUGAAAUAUGUUUGCCAGAGCCUAAAAACAAGUUGGAAGACACGGGAACAAUUUUAAACAUUAAUAUUAUUUCAGAAGCUUAAAAAAUUCUUUACUUCUAAAUAAUAUUUAGAAUAUUUGUCAAGCUUUUGCCAUGUGCCUUAGUGCUAAGUAUUUACAUGUAUCUUCUUAUUUAGUCCUGAUGAUUAUCUUUUAGGGAUAAUCUUUUAUUCCUCAUUCUACAUUCGUUGACACUGAAACUUACAGAAGUUAAUAGUUUACACAUCUUUUAUAUGACAGAUUUAGGCCUAUAACUAACUCCAGAGCCUAAACUCAUCUUAACUUGGGGCACUUGAUGGGAUGAGCACUGGGUGUUAAGCUAUAUGUUGGCAAAUUGAACUCCAAUAAAAAGAAAUAAAAAAAAAUAAACUCAUCUUAAUUUGUUAACUUGUCCAUUAGGAAUCCUUGAUGUAUAAAACAAAUUAUUGUGUAAUUCUCCCUUUUCUUCAUUUUAAAUUAAAAUAUAGAGUCCAAAUAAAGAAGUGAUAUAAAUAUGUUUAAGGAGAACUUGAAAGCAGAUUUUUCAGAGUUCAGCCUAGAUUAACAUGAAAUAAGAAGAUUCCUUGUCUAUAUUUUACCUACAGGCAGCCAGAGGAAGGAGAAUAACUUUGUUCAAAACAUCUGGCAGCUGACUCCCCUGCCUGUGUCUAUCCAGAUGAUCAUGGAACCAUAGAAUUGUUGUUUUUUGGACAAGAGUUACAAAAAGAAUGAACAAGUUCAAUCACUGAUUAUAUGACAUUUGUCAGUAUUUAGAAUGGAAAUUAGAGCUAUGACAUCAUUUUAAGAAUAUACAUUAUAUAAUUAACAGUUUACCUAAUUUUAUAUACUGUGAAUGUAUUAUUUUAUGAUUUAAAGCAGUUUUUAAAGCUUAAAAUUUGUCAACACUAUAACAUGCCCACUCAUUAUCUCUGUUUACCAUGUUCACAGUUCCUUCCGUGGUAACCUUAGAGGCACUCACAGUUUCCACAAAACCUAUUGCGAACUCCACUGUUUUGGCAUAAGCAAUUAAAAUGGCAGCAUGAGCCAUAAUAACCAGGAUAACAUUCUGGAAAAGAAAGGGAAUAUAAGGGAAGGGAGAAGAAAUGUGUAGGAAAUAUCAGAAAGGGAGACAGAACGUAAAGACUGCUAACUCUGGGAAACGAACUAGGGGUGGUGGAAGGGGAAAAGGGCGGGGGGUGGGAGUGAAUGGGUGACGGGCACUGGGGGUUAUUCUGUAUGUUAGUAAAUUGAACACCAAUAAAAAAUAAAUUAAAAAAAAAAAAA